This 422-nucleotide ribosomal RNA is filed under the name uncultured bacterium. Its description in RNAcentral is "bacterial SSU rRNA". It matches the Rfam family "Bacterial small subunit ribosomal RNA", at positions 360 to 773 of the family's 1533-position model. The record is from RNAcentral.
AAUUGUUCGCAAUGGGCGCAAGCCUGACGACGCAACGCCGCGUGGAGGACGAAGAUCUUCGGGUCGUAAACUCCUUUCGAUCGGGAAGAAUGGCUCCGGGGUUAAUAGCCCUGGAGAGUGACGGUACCGAGUGAGGAAGCCCCGGCUAACUCUGUGCCAGCAGCCGCGGUAAUACAGAGGGUGCGAGCGUUGUCCGGAAUCCCUGGGCGUAAAGGGCGCGUAGGCGGCUUGACAAGCGUGCGGUGAAAGCUCGGGGCUCAACCCCGAGUCGGCCGUGCGAACUGUCAGGCUUGAGCACAGUAGAGGCAGAUGGAAUUCCGGGUGUAGCGGUGGAAUGCGUAGAGAUCCGGAAGAACACCGGUGGCGAAGGCGGUCUGCUGGGCUGUGGCUGACGCUGAUGCGCGACAGCGUGGGGAGCAAAC